UCCAGGCUGUAACUUUUUAGAAGAGAAAGU
Molecule: non-coding RNA, 30 nt
Filed under: Mus musculus (house mouse)
Lineage: Eukaryota; Metazoa; Chordata; Mammalia; Rodentia; Muridae
Also listed under: 1 other name
Source: RNAcentral